AGUGAACGCUGGCGGUAGGCCUAACACAUGCAAGUCGAACGGCAGCACAGUAAGAGCUUGCUCUUACGGGUGGCGAGUGGCGGACGGGUGAGGCAUACAUCGGAAUCUACUUUUUCGUGGGGGAUAACGUAGGGACACUUCCGCUAAUACCGCAUACGUCCUACGGGUGAAAGCAGGGGAUCUUCGGACCUUGCGCGAUUGAAUUAGCCGAUGUCGGAUUAGCUAGUUGGCGGGGUAAAGGCCCACCAAGGCAACGAUCCGUAGCUGGUCUGAGAGGAUGAUCAGCCACACUGGAACUGAGACACGGUCCAGACUCCUACGGGAGGCAGCAGUAGGGAAUAUUGGACAAUGGGCGAAAGCCUGAUCCAGCCAUACCGCGUGGGUGAAGAAGGCCUUCGGGUUGUAAAGCCCUUUUGUUGGGAAAGAAAAGCAGCAGGUGAAUACCCCGCUGUUCUGACGGUACCCAAAGAAUAAGCACCGGCUAACUUCGUG
RNAcentral lists this ribosomal RNA (492 nucleotides) under uncultured bacterium. Its description in RNAcentral is "partial 16S ribosomal RNA". It matches the Rfam family "Bacterial small subunit ribosomal RNA", at positions 29 to 507 of the family's 1533-position model. The record is from RNAcentral.